This 289-nucleotide long non-coding RNA is filed under the name Ictidomys tridecemlineatus (thirteen-lined ground squirrel). RNAcentral's name for it is "lncRNA (ENSSTOG00000034084.1)". The record is from RNAcentral. Lineage: Eukaryota; Metazoa; Chordata; Mammalia; Rodentia; Sciuridae.
AUACAUGCAUUUCUCUGAUUCUCUGCCUUUUAAUUACAGGUAUUUGAGAUAAAUGUAUUUUACUAUAAAUUUACUUUCAAGAGAUAAUACAACCAUCAAGUAAUCUGUCUCAAAUUGUUUUACAAACUUUAUAAGGAAAACCAGGCAGAAUACUAAAAGAAAAAGAAGAUACUUCCACAGAGAGGAAGCACACAUUGGAGGUCCUAAGAGGAAGUAAUGAAUCAUCUUUCGGUAAAACAAGUCUUUGUAUUCUGGAUUUUAAUGAUAAAAGUAUUUUCCAAAAAGAAAA